RNAcentral lists this ribosomal RNA (526 nucleotides) under uncultured bacterium. RNAcentral's name for it is "partial 16S ribosomal RNA". It matches the Rfam family "Bacterial small subunit ribosomal RNA", at positions 28 to 523 of the family's 1533-position model. The record is from RNAcentral.
GACGAACGCUGGCAGCGUGCCUAAUACAUGCAAGUCGAGCGCAGGAAACCAGAUGACCCCUUCGGGGUGAUUCUGGUGGAAUGAGCGGCGGACGGGUGAGUAACACGUGGGCAACCUGCCUGUAAGACUGGGAUAACUUCGGGAAACCGGAGCUAAUACCGGAUAGUAUUUCCUUUCUCCUGAUUGGAAAUGGAAAGACGGUUUCGGCUGUCACUUACAGAUGGGCCCGCGGUGCAUUAGCUAGUUGGUGGGGUAAUGGCCCACCAAGGCGACGAUGCAUAGCCGACCUGAGAGGGUGAUCGGCCACACUGGGACUGAGACACGGCCCAGACUCCUACGGGAGGCAGCAGUAGGGAAUCUUCCGCAAUGGACGAAAGUCUGACGGAGCAACGCCGCGUGAGCGAUGAAGGCCUUCGGAUCGUAAAGCUCUGUUGUUAGGGAAGAACAAGUACGAGAGUAACUGCUCGUACCUUGACGGUACCUAACCAGAAAGCCCCGGCUAACUACGUGCCAGCAGCCGCAGUAA